This 433-nucleotide ribosomal RNA is filed under the name uncultured bacterium. RNAcentral describes it as "partial 16S ribosomal RNA". It matches the Rfam family "Bacterial small subunit ribosomal RNA", at positions 29 to 507 of the family's 1533-position model. The record is from RNAcentral.
AACGAACGCUGGCGGCAUGCCUAACACAUGCAAGUCGAACGAGACCUUCGGGUCUAGUGGCGCACGGGUGCGUAACGCGUGGGAACCUGCCCUUAGGUUCGGAAUAACUCCCCGAAAGGGGUGCUAAUACCGGAUAAUGUCUUCGGACCAAAGAUUUAUCGCCUUUGGAUGAGCCCGCGUUGGAUUAGCUAGUUGGUAGGGUAAAAGCCUACCAAGGCGACGAUCCAUAGCUGGUCUGAGAGGAUGAUCAGCCACACUGGGACGGAGACACGGCCCAGACUCCUACGGGAGGCAGCAGUGGGGAAUAUUGGACAAUGGGCGAAAGCCUGAUCCAGCAAUGCCGCGUGAGUGAUGAAGGCCUUAGGGUUGUAAAGCGCUUUUACCCGGGAUGAUAAUGACAGUACCGGGAGAAUAAGCUCCGGCUAACUCCGUG